CCUACGGGAGGCAGCAGUGGGGAAUUUUGGACAAUGGGGGCAACCCUGAUCCAGCAAUGCCGCGUGAGUGAAGAAGGCCUUCGGGUUGUAAAGCUCUUUUGUCAGGGAAGAAACGGUGUGAGCUAAUAUCUCAUGCUAAUGACGGUACCUGAAGAAUAAGCACCGGCUAACUACGUGCCAGCAGCCGCGGUAAUACGUAGGGUGCAAGCGUUAAUCGGAAUUACUGGGCGUAAAGCGUGCGCAGGCGGUUUUGUAAGACUGUCGUGAAAUCCCCGGGCUCAACCUGGGAAUGGCGAUGGUGACUGCAAGGCUAGAGUUUGGCAGAGGGGGGUAGAAUUCCACGUGUAGCAGUGAAAUGCGUAGAUAUGUGGAGGAACACCGAUGGCGAAGGCAGCCCCCUGGGUCAAAACUGACGCUCAUGCACGAAAGCGUGGGGAGCAAACAGGAUUAGAUACCCUGGUAGUCCACGCCCUAAACGAUGUCUAGUAGUUGUCGGGUUAAAUU
RNAcentral lists this ribosomal RNA (504 nucleotides) under uncultured Duganella sp. Its description in RNAcentral is "bacterial SSU rRNA". It matches the Rfam family "Bacterial small subunit ribosomal RNA", at positions 338 to 834 of the family's 1533-position model. Lineage: Bacteria; Pseudomonadati; Pseudomonadota; Betaproteobacteria; Burkholderiales; Oxalobacteraceae. The record is from RNAcentral.